AGAACUUUACUAUGAAUUAA
RNAcentral lists this microRNA (20 nucleotides) under Schistosoma mansoni. Its description in RNAcentral is "sma-miR-8417-3p". The record is from miRBase by way of RNAcentral. Lineage: Eukaryota; Metazoa; Platyhelminthes; Trematoda; Strigeidida; Schistosomatidae.